This is a long non-coding RNA of Misgurnus anguillicaudatus (oriental weatherfish), 1631 nucleotides long. RefSeq lists it as uncharacterized. Lineage: Eukaryota; Metazoa; Chordata; Actinopteri; Cypriniformes; Cobitidae. The record is from RefSeq and is a predicted model, not a curated record.
UUAGACAUUUCUCCCCUACAGUGGAGUAUACAUAAUCUAUAAAGAUAGCACAAAUAAUAUAGUAGUAAACUAUUCCCCACUCUUUCUCUCUCUCACAGCUGUUGGAUCUGUUUGGAGGCAGACGGUUGCCAUGGUACGGUUGCCAUGCGGCUGGUGUCUGAUUCAGACGGGCCCACACACUGUCAGUAGGAGGAGAAGAGAAAAGAAUUUGAGGGAGGUGGCACCAGGGGAUGGAGGAUUGGCACAGUAUAAUACACAAAUGCGUUUCAAGUCAAACCCAAAAGUGGCACAAGACACAGCCUGCAGUCAGUACAAACACAGUCUGUCCAGCCCUGCAAUUUUUAAAGGACAGAGCAGUUUCUCUCCUAGAGCUGGCCCAGUCCCCUGCCACGUCUGGCUUGAUCACAAGAGAUUCGCCUGGGGUUACAGGCUGGUCGGAUGGCUCUGACUGUCACUAGGAGGGGAUAGCAGACGUCUUCGGGACCCAGGAAUGUCCGGUAUUCUAACCCACCGCUGUGUACAAUGCUGAGGAUUACAACAUUCAGUGAAAGGCCAGGAAUUCUGACACCCACAGUGUUGUGAUGGGAACAGUAAAUCCCUCACCGCUGCCUCACCCGACAACCAGACAGGCAAUCUGCCAGUUCCCACCGGCGGGCACCUGGAAAUACAUCUGAGACCUGGCUGAAUGGUUGACAGGUGACCACACCUUCAUUUGUGGAGGACAUGGCAUUAAGAGAGCCAUUAGCCUGCAGGUGGAGAGGGACAAUGGCUGUGACAGCGCUCUGGUGGGAUCUGAGUAUUCAAUAACGCUCUCGUGUGAACUGAAUGCCAUCGUACAGUAGAGGAGAGUGUAGUGUGACAGACAUGAAGGUGUGAAAAGGUAAAUGAAGCUGAGCUUUGCUGUCUUCAGUCAUCUCAGACAACGCAAGUGUCAGUGGAACUGGGAAGCAAAUAACUGUUAUUAAAUCAUUUUCUGACAUGUUGUAUGUGUGUAAGAGGGAAACUGCAAAAUAGAGGGUUGUCGUGGCUAUUUCCAGGUGUGAAAGACAUGAUGGUAUGUCAUAAUGGAGUGAUGUACUGGAUGUGCGUAUGUAAGAGGAAGUAUGCUAUGUUUAGUACGGUGUAUAAUUUGGACAGAACGAAAGAGGAAAAACAACCCAAAGAAAAAUAUUACUGCCUAGAUGUUGCUCUUUCAUAGCUCAGGAGAUUUAUUUUAAGCAUCAACUUAGUGUCCGAUGUUUCUCGCAAACUUGCUUAGGAGAAAAAAUGGAAACAAAUGAGAGAAUUGUUCAAGUACAUUAAGAGUAUGGAGCUGUAAAAUUAAUGUUGAAUGUAGAGGUAAAAUAAUGUGGAUUUGUGAAAAUUUGAUGAUAAAUGUUUGAGUUCAUAUUUUCAUUGCAGACUCUGCAUAUCUGAGCUUAGUUUGUUACAUUUUUUAGAUCUCUUUUAAACUUUAAUGGAGACUUUUUGUGUCUCUCGUUCUCCAUUAAUCUCAUUGAUGUCUAGUAAAAAUUAAAGGACCCAUAUUAUGCAGAAUCCACUUUGACAAGGUGUUUGUACAUAAAUGUGUGUUGGCAGUGUGACCAUGACCACUCUAAAAUGAAAAAAAAAUCCACCCCCACCUUUUCAAA